GAGGAGACCAUCAAUCCCUAAACAAAAAACAAACCCUAAAUCGAUCCUCACCGUCUGCCCUGGUUCUUUCUUCAUCAUCACAGCAGUUUUGCUGAACCGAGUUGAGCCUGGUCCCUGGUUCUUUCUUCAUCAUCACAGCAGUCAACAGAGGAGUGUAAGGUCGAAAUCGAGUGAGUAAACAAGCCGAUAUCAUCAUCAUCAUCAACGCAGGAGGACAUCAUCAUCAUUAAGGGUUGUAAUGAUUUCAGUUUCUUUUCAAGUCGAAACAUUAAGGUUGCAAUGCCUGUUGGGAACUAUACUACAUCGAGCAUGAAAUUCAGGAGACGUCGUAAACA
This is a long non-coding RNA of Helianthus annuus (common sunflower), 335 nucleotides long. RefSeq lists it as uncharacterized. The record is from RefSeq and is a predicted model, not a curated record. Lineage: Eukaryota; Viridiplantae; Streptophyta; Magnoliopsida; Asterales; Asteraceae. The transcript is spliced from 3 exons.